GAAAUGCGAUAAGUAGUGUGAAUUGCAGAAUUCAGUGAAUCAUCGAAUCUUUGAACGCACAUUGCGCCCGCCAGCAUUCUGGCGGGCAUGCCUGUUCGAGCGUCAUCUCAACCCCUUAAGCCCCUGCUGCUUAGCGUUGGGAGCCUACGGCGGCCCGCCCGCCGUAGCUCCUCAAAGUCAGUGGCGGGGUCGGCCCAGCACCCCAGGCGCAGUAGAUCUUCCGUCCGCGUCGCCUGCGGGCCGGGCCGGCCUUCCCCGCCUUUAAAAAAAAGAAAGCUAUAAAGGUUGACCUCGGAUCAGGUAGGGAUACCCGCUGAACUUAA
RNAcentral lists this unclassified non-coding RNA (323 nucleotides) under uncultured Xylariaceae. Its description in RNAcentral is "sequence contains ITS1". The stretch from base 1 to 105 matches the Rfam family "5.8S ribosomal RNA", at positions 50 to 154 of the family's 154-position model. The record is from RNAcentral. Lineage: Eukaryota; Fungi; Ascomycota; Sordariomycetes; Xylariales; Xylariaceae.